Molecule: ribosomal RNA, 499 nt
Filed under: uncultured bacterium
Lineage: Bacteria
Description: partial 16S ribosomal RNA
Rfam family: Bacterial small subunit ribosomal RNA
Source: RNAcentral
ACUCAAAUGAAUUGACGGGGACCCGCACAAGCAGUGGAGUAUGUGGUUUAAUUCGAAGCAACGCGAAGAACCUUACCAGCUCUUGACAUCCCAAUGAAAGCAGCAGAGAUGUUGCCCCUCUUCGGAGCAUUGGAGACAGGUGGUGCAUGGUUGUCGUCAGCUCGUGUCGUGAGAUGUUGGGUUAAGUCCCGCAACGAGCGCAACCCUUGAUCUUAGUUGCCAGCAAUUCGGUUGGGCACUCUAAGGUGACUGCCGGUGACAAACCGGAGGAAGGUGGGGAUGACGUCAAAUCAUCAUGCCCCUUAUGAGCUGGGCUACACACGUACUACAAUGGUCGGUACAACGGGAAGCGAAGUCGCGAGAUGGAGCCAAUCCUAUAAAAGCCGAUCUCAGUUCGGAUUGCAGGCUGCAACUCGCCUGCAUGAAGUCGGAAUUGCUAGUAAUCGCGGAUCAGCAUGCCGCGGUGAAUACGUUCCCGGGUCUUGUACACACCGCCCGU